UCGCAUGAAGCUGGAAUCGCUAGUAAUCGCGGAUCAGAAUGCCGCGGUGAAUACGUUCCCGGGUCUUGUACACACCGCCCGUCACACCAUGGGAGUCGGAAAUGCCCGAAGCCUGUGACCCAACCUGAGAGGGAGGGAGCAGCCGAAGGCAGGUCUGAUGACUGGGGUGAAGUCGUAACAAGGUAAC
This 187-nucleotide ribosomal RNA is filed under the name uncultured bacterium. RNAcentral describes it as "partial 16S ribosomal RNA". It matches the Rfam family "Bacterial small subunit ribosomal RNA", at positions 1316 to 1500 of the family's 1533-position model. The record is from RNAcentral.